AGUGCGUGAAACCGCUCAGAGGUAAACAGGUGGAGUUGAACUGUAAGCUGCGGGGAUUCAGCUGGUGAGUCUGUCAUGGGCUUGGUCAUAUUGGUCAGCCAACGAGGUCCGCUUAGUUGCGGGUUCCUUCUCUCCGGAGGGGGAAUGUGCGUUGCACUUAUCAAGUGUUGUGCGCCUCGGAGGUUGAUGGCCUGCUCGCCAGUGCACUUUCUCGUAGUGAUCACCACGAUCGGCGCUGUUGCCUUUCGACUGUGGAUAAACCGUUCAGGUCUGGUCUUUAUGGCUGAAUCUGUCGGGAUGGCAGGUAGCUCGUUGGUUGGCGUGCCAGCCAGUGGGUGUAAUCAGCUGUCUGCAGUAGAUUUGUGCAAUGCGUCGGAGACGACGGCUUCUGGCAUGGGCGUGCGUGUCCUUCAUUGGCGGAGCCGGGUCUGAUCAGCAUGUUACUCACAAAUGUGGGUCUGUUGAUGGCUCGGUUUUGUCCUUUGAGGGUUUGCGUGCGUGUUGCCGUUCAAGGGCCUAUAGUCUGUGGUGUUGUAGUGAACGA
Molecule: ribosomal RNA, 544 nt
Filed under: Cyathocotylidae sp. SMS-2010-2
Lineage: Eukaryota; Metazoa; Platyhelminthes; Trematoda; Diplostomida; Cyathocotylidae
Description: partial 28S ribosomal RNA
Source: RNAcentral